Molecule: ribosomal RNA, 700 nt
Filed under: Haloterrigena sp. S2FP2
Lineage: Archaea; Methanobacteriati; Methanobacteriota; Halobacteria; Halobacteriales; Natrialbaceae
Description: bacterial SSU rRNA
Rfam family: Archaeal small subunit ribosomal RNA
Source: RNAcentral
UUGCACGGAAGUUCAGACUCGUAGCAGAUAGCUCAGUAACACGUGGCCAAACUACCCUAUGGAUCCGAAUAACCUCGGGAAACUGAGGCUAAUUCGGAAUACGAUUCACCGCCUGGAGUGGUGUGAAUCCGAAACGCUCCGGCGCCAUAGGAUGUGGCUGCGGCCGAUUAGGUAGACGGUGGGGUAACGGCCCACCGUGCCCAUAAUCGGUACGGGUUGUGAGAGCAAGAGCCCGGAGACGGUAUCUGAGACAAGAUACCGGGCCCUACGGGGCGCAGCAGGCGCGAAACCUUUACACUGCACGAAAGUGCGAUAAGGGGACUCCAAGUGCGAGGGCAUAUAGUCCUCGCUUUUUGCGACCGUAAGGUGGUCGCGGAAUAAGUGCUGGGCAAGACCGGUGCCAGCCGCCGCGGUAAUACCGGCAGCACGAGUGAUGACCGCUAUUAUUGGGCCUAAAGCGUCCGUAGCUGGCCGUGCAAGUCCAUCGGGAAAUCCGCGCGCUUAACGCGCGGGCGUCCGGUGGAAACUGCAUGGCUUGGGACCGGAAGACCAGAGGGGUACGUCCGGGGUAGGAGUGAAAUCCCGUAAUCCUGGACGGACCACCGGUGGCGAAAGCGCCUCUGGAAGACGGAUCCGACGGUGAGGGACGAAAGCUCGGGUCACGAACCGGAUUAGAUACCCGGGUAGUCCGAGCUGUAAA